RNAcentral lists this ribosomal RNA (301 nucleotides) under uncultured bacterium. RNAcentral's name for it is "partial 16S ribosomal RNA". It matches the Rfam family "Bacterial small subunit ribosomal RNA", at positions 509 to 807 of the family's 1533-position model. The record is from RNAcentral.
CAGUCGCCACGGUAAUACGUAGGUGGCAAGCGUUGUCCGGAAUUAUUGGGCGUAAAGGGCUCGCAGGCGGUUUCUUAAGUCUGGUGUGAAAGCCCCCGGCUCAACCGGGGAGGGUCAUUGGAAACUGGGAAACUUGAGUGCAGAAGAGGAGAGUGGAAUUCCACGUGUAGCGGUGAAAUGCGUAGAGAUGUGGAGGAACACCAGUGGCGAAGGCGGCUCUCUGGUCUGUAACUGACGCUGAGGAGCGAAAGCGUGGGGAGCGAACAGGAUUAGAUACCCGCGUAGUCCCUGUCUCUUAUAC